This is an RNA transcript of Brassica rapa (field mustard), 11880 nucleotides long. It is a transcript of the gene named protein LIGHT-DEPENDENT SHORT HYPOCOTYLS 9-like, with no coding region annotated. The record is from RefSeq and is a predicted model, not a curated record. NCBI's taxonomy places the organism in Eukaryota, Viridiplantae, Streptophyta, Magnoliopsida, Brassicales, Brassicaceae.
UAAAUAAAUUUGUAUAGUCAAAUACCAUUCAUAUUUGUGUCAGUUGAUAACAAAACCAGUCCAUAUAAUCUCCAUAUGGUAUGUUAGACUGCCAAUAUUUUUUCAACAGUUUCAGUUUCAUAAAACCUCAGAAAAUUUUAAUUUUUUUAAAAUGAAGUAUUUCAAUAGGCUUUCUUACUUAUUAUGGUAUUGAUUAUCAAAAAAGUUUUAGUAACCAUAAAUAAAUUAUCACUAGUUCUGUAUAAAUGCAUACCCUUGGUUAAAGAUAUUUCAAGAUUUCAAACUUGAUGUUCUCAAGGUAUUAUAACUAAAAUGUCUAAAAAUAUUAUUUUAACUAUAAAACUAUCCGUUUUACUUAUCAUACGCUAAUAAGAAAAUAAACUAAAAAUGCUCUUCCUAAUCAUCGGUUUUGAUGACUUGUUUUCUGGAUCGGCCAUGCCUCUUUCGUUAGUUGUUAUAAAUUUUAUCCUUUUACUAGGAAUGAUUAGAUUAUAUUUGUCUUAGAGCUCAUGUAGAUUUGUCCUUUGUAGAGUUGUUGUAGAUUUCAUCCCUCCUUGACUUUGAGUUUGUAUAGAUUAUGCCUCUCUAAGACCAUCUCCAAUGGUACUCUAUAAUUUUUUCUAUAUUUCACUCUAAAAUAGAGUAACUUUAUUAUAGAGUUGGAUUUGCUUCAAUGGUUAGAGUUACUCUAUAAUAUAGUGAAAUAUAGAGUAUUCUUAUUUUUUCACUCUAUAUUUGGAGUAAAAAAAUAAGAUUACUUUAUAUUUCACUCUAUUAUAGAGUAACUCUAUUAUAGAGUGAACCAUUGAAGCAAAUUUAACUCUAUAAUAGAGUUACUUUAUUUUAGUGUAAAUUAUAGAGGAAAAAAUAGAGUGCCCUUGGAGAUGCUCUAAGAGCUUUUGCAGAUUCCUCUUUUGUAGUAGAUUGUUUCUCUCCUUGAGUUGAUACGAGAUUAGAUGUCUCUUAGAGCAAUUCCAUUUGAGAUUUUUCAACAUAAAUGUUCCAAAUUCAAAAAAAAAAAAACUAUUAGAAUGAGUAUUUCAAUUGUUAAGAAAUCCAUUUUAUUAAAUAAUAUUUUUAGUUGUUAGAUAUUUAUGCUUGCAGUCUUUGAAUGGAAUUGCUGUUAGAGCUUCUGAUACACUAAAAAUGAAUAUUUGUUACUGUCAAGUUAAUAGUAUUGUUGUAGUAUGUUUAGAUUCAAUUUGAGAGGAACAAUUUAUACUUUAUCCUAUUAGUUCAAUAAUAAGCUAAAACAAUAAUGAGGUUUAAAGGUUGAUUGAAAGCAUAGAAUGCAAGUAACAAGCAAAGAGAGGGUUUAACAAAAUGAUAAGCGAGCUAGCCUAGAGACAGAUUAACGAGGGAGCGAGCCGAACAGUAUAUUCAAGUUCCUUAAGAUCGAGCCCAAAACUCAGGUAACUAGGUAGAUCAGCCCACUCUCGUGGUAUUGUUCCUUUUAUCGAUCGAUCUCAGCUCCUAAACUCUCGUUUGAGCUGAGAUGCAAUGAUAAACCUUAGGAGCUGACCCGAUGGGUUUAUAAAGCAGCCUAAUAUCUACUUUUGCUGAUUAGGGAUGUCAUGCUCAUGCAAAACGUGUCAAGUAAUCUAAUGCACGGUUAAUGAUUAGAUCUACUUAAGUUCAUGCAUCAAAUGAUCAAUUUAAUGCAAUCAAUACGACCGAUAAUGAAUGAAGACAAUUGAUGAUACUUAUUUGUGUUCAGCUCGCGAUCUAGCAACCCUAACACCCUAGGCUAACAAGAUCGACUACUCAGUCAUAACACAAGUAAACACAUAUGAUAAUUCUGAAUAAUACAUGAUGCGAUCAUGAAUAGAAAUAAAAUAGGGUUUAGAAUAAUCUUCUCCAAGGUGAGAAAGAUGGAGCUGUCUCCCUUACAAAGCAAUUCCAAAAGUAACUUGUCUUACAAAAACUAGCGUAAAAAUAAAAGAAAUAAGGAUAUAGGCACUUUUAUAUGGAGGCGCCAUUAAGUUAGAGAAGAGGGACGACUAGCGAAACUCUCGAAAUAACUUGGAUGUUUCCUUAAAUGUCGGAAACAAUCGCUCAGACUGUUCCUUAAGGGGAACAAUCGCCAAACUGCUCCGCGGGAAAUCUUACAAAUAUGGCAUCUUUUCUUCAUGCACCCUUCUUCGACUCUGCAACCUAUUCCAGACCUGAAAAGACUCAAAAAGGACUGAACAGACUCGAUAAAAUAUUUAAAAACCAUUGAAAACGUAUUUACUAUGAUGUCAAAAAUAUCAUAUAUCAGAGCUUCUAUAGGUUCUACCAUUCAUAGGAUUAUUAUUGAUUUCGUCCGUCCUGGAUUGAUUAUAUUCCAUGUUCUAAAAAUCGGCUGCCUGGACACUACGCGUCACUCUUCCGCCCCGAUUUGUGCCAAAUCGGUUUAAAAAAUCGGAUAUCCAAUUUUCUCCGCCUAGACCGCCUAAAUGACCACCUAAUCUAUUUUUUUAUUUUUUUAUUUUUGUUUUAUUUUUAAUAAUAUUUUUAUUUAUUUAUUUGAUCUAAAAUUUUGUAAAUAUCAUUUAUAUUCAUAAUUUUGAUGAAAAUUAAACUAUAUUAAGUUUAUAUAUUCUAUUUAUAUGUUUUAUACAGUCUUAAACAUGAAUAUUAUACACAAUUAAAGAUUAACAUAUUUUAUAACAUAGUAAACAAUCUAAAAAUUAUGCCCUUCAUAAUUUCCGUUUUUUUUAUGAGGCGCUAGGUCAAACCCGACCGCCCAACUAGCUAGCGCUUUCCCGAACGGGGAUUAUAUUUAGAUAAAUCCGUCCUUUGUAGAUUACUGUAGAUUUCGUCUUUCAUUAUGUGAUAUAGAUUAUGGGUUUCUAUAAUAAUGAUGAUAUUAUACAUAUGAACAUCAGCUGUUACUUGAAAGCUCUCGGAAAUCGCAAUAUAUUCUCUAUUUUCCCGUUAUUUCUCUUCUUCUUCUUUCUCCUAUCUAGGGUUUUGUGCUUUCUUUAUUUAUAGAAUUAGAGGGGUCGCUAUAGUUUCCUAAUUCAUAUGCGUAUAUUUCCUUUUUAAAAUAACUGUAUUGUCUUCUGCAUUCUUCACUGAUCUUCUACCCUGACUGCAAUUUGUUAAUCUUCUGCGUUUACGGCAGUUCACCAAUUUUUACGCUUACUGCAAAUUUCAUCGUAACCCUAUUCCUGUGAACUUUAUAUUUAUAUUAGGUUAGCCGGAGUGAAAAAGUUAUUUCCUACACUGAAAAUCAAAUUACGUAUUUCCAAAACUUUACUGUGUUCUUUUAAAUUUGAAUGUUGAACUGCCGUCGAUAACACUAAUGUUCGAGGCAUUAUCACACGAUCUUAGAAAAAAAAUUAAGCAAACAAUCGUUUCAACCAUAACAUAUUGGCCAAGGUAACAUACAUCAUCAUCAUAAUCAUCAUCUCGAGUUCAAUACUUCCAAAACACACCCGGACUUCCUACUCCAGUUUUUUUCUUUUAAAAGAUCAAAACUUCUUAUUAUUUAUGAACAAAAUAAUAAUAAUAAAAAUAAUAAUAAUCCUUAUAGUAGAAUCGCAUAUAUUCAUUUCAAAUGGUUCCAUCAACUAAAAGUUCCUUUAAUUAACUUAAAGAUGAGUAGUUAGACACUACUUGCAGCAUCAUUUUCGAAUUUUUUUGUCAUUAGCUCAACUGCAAAACAUUCCAUUGCGUUAGUCUUCGGUGUUAGAAGUCUUCGGUUUUUUUAAUUAAUAAAGAUAAAUUAAUAUUACAAACUAAUUCAAUAUUACAAAUUAAUAUUACAUGCUGAUCUGAAUUUUCCAAAUCGCUUUUUCGAUCCCGCCGUAUCACUCCUGAGAUGUGUAUUGACUACUUAAAACAUUGAAACCUGAUCUGGCCGGGGGAAUUCUUGAUCAAAUUUGUUCUCAUGUUUUUCAAUUUAAUAUACCGUCUAACAACAAAUAAACAAAAAUUAUAAUUGCAUAAUAAUAUGAUAAAAAUGAUACCAGGUUAAAAACAUAUGGACCCAAGUCCCACGUGAAUAUUUUUAUUUUUGUCUUUUAUUUUCUUUUUUUUUAUCGAGUGGAUUUCUGUUGAUGUUGCGUGCAAAAUUAAAGUAUAUCGAAUAUAUAUUGCCCCCACACAAGAUCUCCUCUUACAAAAUCUUGUCCAACAAUGCUUUUUAGGGUUUUCUCGUCGGAUUCUUGUUCGCCGUUCACCGGAAUCUGAUUUUCACCGGCUGCCAGUUCUUAGUCCCCGACAAUGGGUACUAAAUGUGUGUAUCAAAUAAUAUGCUUGCCUUUAAUUAUUAUGUCUACUCUUUUAUUUGAUUAUUUUCAUGCUUUUUAUGUAUUUCUGUUUUCCAAAUUAUUCAAUGACCUUACUCCAUUGUUUAAUGCUAAGUUGCUAACACACUAUCGUAGUGUUUUUCAAUUAAAGCGUUUAUUAUACCUAAUUAGCAUCCAAAUUGGCAAUUUGCACAUGAUUUGAUGUAUGUGUACAUUGCUCUACUUUUUUACUUUGAAUUUCCAAAAAUAACUUUUUUACAUUUUUUUCCUCUUACAUAUUCUUACACUUUUUUUUUUUACACUAUUUUCCCUCAUUAACUUUCACACUCUCUUUUCUUUUACACUCAUAUUUUCUUUCAUUUUUCAUAUUUUUUCUCACGAUUUUUUUAUUUACACUUAUUUUUCUUAUUUUAUUUUUCUUUCUUCCAACAGAAUGUGUAAAACGAAAAAAUGUAAAAUUUGAACAUAAAUAUUAUCGUGUAACUAAAUAAAUAACAGCAAACAUAAAUGUUAUCAAAAUAUGUAUUAGGUGACAAACAAUAUAUCAUCUAACAAAACAUGCCGUUACUUACAAUUAUUUUCUAACAAACUUAUGAACCGGAUGGGAGUCCAAAGAUGAACACGGAUUUCUUCGGCACCGAAAAUAUCAACAUAGACCAGACGAAGACCUAGGACAAUCUUUUACCUACAAAGAUAGCAAAUAAAAAAGAAUCAAAUACUACACAGAUAAUGAAUCAUCUUCCAGAUAAAAAAUUAUUAUCAGCCUAUUUUCCAGCUACCAAAUCAAGUUUAAAAAAUAAUGUACAAACCGACAAACAAUUUAUAAAAUCAUUAAUGAGCUAUACAAACAAUGCAUCAAUUAACAACAAGUUUUUGGUAACAUCAUACAACAGUUUAUCAACUUUCGAUAUCAAACUAUGUAUCAGCUAACAAAAUAUGUACCAAGUAACAAAUUAUUUACAAGAUAAUAAACUAUUUCUCAAUUAAAAUAUUAACUCACUUAUCAAACCAUUUAUAAGAUACACAACCCAUAUAUCAAUUAGCGACAAGUCUUUUGUAAGAUCAUACGAACCAUUUAUGAUUUAUUUGUUAUGAAACUAUGUAUCCGCUAACAUAACAUGUACCAUGCAACAAAUCUUUUAUCAUAUAACAAAUCAUUUCGUGAGAAAAAUGUAUCAAGUCAAAAUCACGUAUCAACUAACUUAUCAGCUAAAAACAUAUGUGAAACAAAUGUAUAAACUGAAAAACCAAUUAUCAAAAUAUUUAUCAACUAAUAUAUUAUAUAAAUAUUAAUAAUAAAUAUUUUUGAACAUUUUAUUUACCUCAAUUUUUUUGCGGUCUGGAUAAAUUUGUUUGGAGGCUUUUUUUUUUUUGCACAUGAAUUUCUAUUCUUUUGAAAUAGGAUCUAGUCUCCAUAGCUCCCAAUACAACACUUUUAAAAUAGAAUUUUAGGAGACUUGGUUCCAACAUAAAAUAGUGUUUUACCACAACGGUUGGUGUUUGUGUUGGAGAUAGUUAAAAUACAAAGUGAGUUAAAUUUGGAAUGGAAGAAAUUGAAAUAAUAAUUAGAAAGUAAAAUAUAGAAAAAUAAAAUAUAUAUGAGAAUCAUGUUUGUGGGAGGAAGGGAAAGAAGAAUAGAACAAGAUGAUUAAAAAGUAAAAUAGAUAAUAAAAUAGGGCUAAAAAAAGAAUUUUUUUUCUGACAAAAAGCUUACACACCUUAUACACCUACAUAAAGCUAUUGGAUUAAAUCGGUAGGGGUAAAAUUAGAAUUGAAAUUAUUUUUUGUUUAUGUAGGGUAGAGUGCAAAUAUAGGAUGUCUCCGAGUAUAGACGUCAAUUAACUCUUUGUUAUAUAGAACGAUCAUUUCAGCCGAUAAGUGUUAAUAGUUUUUUUUUUAAUUUGUCUACUACUAAAUUUAAAUGUUCAUUUCAUGAGCAUGUAUAUAUACAUGCAACAGUAACCUGAAUUCUACCUUAAAAGUAUAUCAAAAGGAAACAAAAUAGUUUUUCUGGUUUUUUCUGUUUACAUUGAUAUAUCAUAUGUAUAUUGGGAAGAUAAUGGAAACCAAUUAUUUAUACGUUAGUCCACUUUCAUUUUUUUUGGUAUAAAGUUAAAUUGUAGUCCACUUUCAUCCACUCUGUUUAGUUAAUUACUAUUUGCAUCGUGAAAGUUGUGUUUUCUUAGUUUCUGACGAUACUAUGUAUGAAUAUGGAGUCACUAUUUACAUCAUAUUUGUUUGGUUUUUAAUUCAAAGAAAAUCACAGCUUCACGUAUAUGAAAAGUACUUUUGUGUUAAUCAUCAUAAUUUGCAAUAUUUUUGAAAUUUCUGUAUUGAAAAAGUUAAUUUGUUUAAUAGUCACUGAUAUAUUGUUAUUGCUUGUUGCUACGAGUACGAUGUUGAUGGAUUGGCGGUCAUCAUCAUCAUUUGGGCAUCAGCGUUCGGGUACCCGUUCGGAUUCGGAUCGGAUGCUUCGGAUUUUUAAGUUUUCGGAUGAAAAGGUACAUAAUCCGUUCGGAUUAUUUUAUACUUUGGAUCGGGUUCGGGUUCAGGUUUUUAAGGUUUGGGUUCGAGUUAUUUCAGAUAUAAUCAAACUGUGAACAAAAAAAAGUUCUAUGUAUCAUUGAUUUGACCCCGUGAGACAAGAAACAAUACUGUUGAAGUUAAAAGAUUAAACAACUUAAUAUAAGAUUUAUGAUCUUUCUGAUUUGUUACAAUGUCGAGGAACACGAGCAUGUAUUAUUUUUCUUCGUGUAAUUUUUAUUUGUAUUAUCUUGAAUAGAAAAUGGUAACGAAUCCAUCUAUUUAUAAAUCAAAAUCAAAGAGACAUCAAAAUCAAUCAGAAAUCAAACCGGGAUAAUAAUGAAUGUUUGAGUUCAUGCCUAUGUUAAGAGUAAAGAGAAAACAAAUCGCACAUCCUACUUGUAAUCAAACAUAAAUCAAAAUCGCAAAGUAUAGUGAUUCAUACAUGUAAUCGGUCAUAAAAUGAGUUUGAGUAUGUACUGAACAUAUACGUCGAAGAAAGAGAAGACGGAAAAAUGAAUGGGAAUGGCAAAUGUAAGUUUAGGGUUAGUAUAUAUAUAUAUAUAUUCGGGUACUUCGGAUAAUUUCGGAUAUCAGAUAUAACCAAUCGAGUACGGAUAUCCAGACUAGUUGAAUCUUAAACCCGUUCGGGUUUUUUAACUUCGGCUCGAUUUUUGGUUCGGGUUUUUAGGGUCGGUUCGGGUUCGAGUUUUGUUAAUAUGCCCACACCUAAUCGUCAUCAUCCAUCAACAUUAUUAUUAUAUUUUUUAUAUCUAUUUCUUAUGCAUAAAGGUUAUAGACUUAUAGAUAUAAUAGGCUACAUGAUUCAACAAUAGCCACUAAACUAAGCAAGUUGGAGAAAUUAACUAAUAAUUCAUUAUUUAAACCAAUAAUGGUUGAUUUGGUUUGCUAAGUCGUACACUGGAUAGCUUAAACAAAUAAUUCUUUAGGAAAUUUAAAAGAAGAGUAUAUCAUACUAGUGCGUAAAUAGCCACAUUAGUAACCAAAAACGAAUUAAUUUACAAAUUCUCAGAUUAAUUUUUGUUUUAAAAGGAACGAGAGCACCUUCUCACGGUCCCGUCAAUUAAAGUAUAUUCUCUAUUUUUUAACUAAUAUAAAAAUGUGUACUAAUUGUAUAUAUAUUAUUACAAGGUCGAUAUUUGAAUUGUUUUGUGUACGUUGCUAAACUAUUUUUUUCUAGAAUGAUGACAAAAAAAGUCAGAGAAAGUAACUUGUCAACAUAACAAUAACAAAAUACAGUCCCUGUAAAGUGUAAAGCUGAAAUUUGAAAAAGGAAAAAAAAAUCUCAUUAAUUAGAUCUUCUUCGAUUGUCAUAGAUAUAUUGGUCAUAAUAAUUUAUAAAUGUAUAGGCUCCUACAGGUUACCAAUCAAAGGCCAUAGUCUGAAAACAAUAAAGCUUUCACAUUAUCUUAGAUAUAAUAUAUGUAGGUCUAAAUCUCAAAAUUACAGUUGUCUGCUUUACAAUGAUUCCAAAUAUAUAUAAAUUCACAAGAUGUUCUUUUUUUUUGGAAUAAAGUUCACAAGAUGUUUCAAUAUAUAACAUAGCUCUCAUUAGUUACAAAUUGCAAUUUGCAUGAAUAGAAGAUUGGAUUUAUUUUUCAUCAUUACUUUAAAAUAGAUAAAUUCUGAUUCAAUAAGUUUUUUUUUUUUUUUUUUCUGAUUCAAUAAGUUAGAGUUAGCAUGCAUGUUUUCAAAUAAAAUAAAACUAGGACUUUAAUAUUCGCAUGAAAUAAUCAAAAUUUAUUGACACUUUAUACAUGUAUCAAUUUAUAUAAAAUACUUAAAUAUAUUUUCUCCUCGUUCCACUCAGUACGUAUCUCUCUUGCUUUCCUUCACUUUAUUGUCGCUUUUAGACCUUGAAUUUUCUCAUAAAUCAGAAUAUAAUACCAAAACAACACCAAAAAGAAAUCAGAGUUACCCCUAAGAAUGUCUUCGGAUCAUCACACACCAACGAAAGAUCCACCGGAUCGUCCAUCUUCUUCCUCCAUCAACCACAAGCAACUGCUUCCUUCUCAACCGCAGGCGCAGCAACCGCUCAGCCGCUACGAGUCUCAGAAACGCCGAGACUGGAACACGUUCAUCCAAUACCUAAAAUCGCAGAAUCCACCGCUGAUGAUGUCUCAGUUCGAUUACACACACGUGCUAAGUUUCCUCAGGUACUUAGAUCAGUUCGGUAAGACCAAAGUACAUCACCAAGCUUGUGUCUUCUUCGGACAACCAGAUCCACCAGGACCGUGCACAUGUCCUCUCAAACAAGCUUGGGGAAGCUUAGAUGCUUUGAUAGGACGGUUGAGAGCUGCUUAUGAGGAACAUGGCGGUGGGUCACCGGAUACUAACCCGUUUGCAAACGGGUCAAUCCGGGUUCACUUGAGGGAAGUGAGAGAAUCUCAAGCCAAGGCUCGUGGGAUUCCGUACAGGAAAAAGAACAGGAGGAAGAUUAAAAACGACGGGGUUGUUGCCAGGAAGGAUGUUGCAAACUCUUCAACUCAUAAUCAGUCGUCCACUUGAUAAUUUAUCACAUAAAAAAAUUCCGAUAUAGGUAAAUCUAUUUUGAAAUUCUUUUUUUUUUCACUCUUAAUUUAAACUCUCAUAUGCUCUUUUUAAAUUGGAAUUAAAUCCUCUGAAUAAGGACACCACAAAUACUCAAAAUAUCAUAUCAAUAAUAGUGAUUGAUUCCAUGAAAUUUCUUGAUAAUUUAUGUUGUCAUUAUAUAUAUAUAUACGAAUAGUAAUAGGUAUUGUAGAUCACAUAUGUUUAAGGGAUAAAAUACCGAAAAAGAAUUUUUUUUUUCUUAUCAACUCUUCAAGUGUCCAAUUGUGAAUGGUAUUUUAAUGACAUAAAUUUUCUGUACGUUGCAUUGCAUGCAUAAUGAUGUAUACUCGUACACUGGUAGGCAUGUGUGGGUCAAUAAUAUUUCUUACAUUACAUACAUUUAGAAUUUACUUGUAUAUGUACACAUAUACAAGUUGUCACAAAAUAUGAAGUUUAGUAUUAUGUGUCGAGGUUAGCUCGGUUGCUAUCGUCUUACCGUUGAGCUAGUGUCUCCUUUUAACAUUUCUACAUUAUGUCUAAUUGUAUUUCUUUUUAUUGAUCAGUUUACCUCGACAUUAAAUUGGGUUAUUAUCAUCUUACCGUUGAGCUUACCUCUAGUUGUUAUCAUUUUACCGUUGAGCUUAGCUCCGGUUAUAAUUGCUUACCCUUUGAAGCUUUUAAUAUAUCUAGUGACAAAAAGUAUUAUGUGUAUAUAUGUAGCUAUAUAUUAGACCAUAGUAUUUAAUAAAUGUUGGUUUGGAGUCUGCUAGCUAAGGAUACUAGCUAGGAUGAUUAGAAAUUUAGAAUAAGCUUGUUUUUAAUAUAUUCCAAAAUGCCUGGUUUCUUUAUAUGUUACUGACUUUGAAGAAUCGAUUAGUGGCAAAUCGGCCGGUUUACAAAAUGCCUGGUUUCUCGAAUCAUGUAACUAAACGAUAUAAAAAAAGCAAUUAAACGAUAUGCAUGAAAAUUAGGAUUCUAAGAAAAGAAGAAUAUAGCUUUUAAAUGAUCUUGGAACCUGAGCAACUAACGUAAGCAAUCCGGAUUCGAAUGCACUCCACUACGCUUCAUAUUAUAUCAUGGUUACACAGAAAAUGAACUUUGGCUUAUUUGAAAAUCUGGAAAAAGAUUUAUAUGAUGGAUUAUAUCUUCUUUUGGAAAAUAGUUUGGGCCUAACGUCUGGAAUACCCUCAAGUUAAUAAAAAAAGACUUUUAAAUGGACAUAUACAAUUAUGGAUUUUGUUAAAACAUUCAGACAUUAAUCUACCGGUCCAUUCUAAGUUAUGUGUUAAGUUGAUUCAUCUUAUGGUGAAUAUCUUGUGCUAUUGAAACUUAUAUUUUAUAACUCACUGUAUUAUAAUUUUUUUGAAAAGUUAGUCACUCAAUUAUAGUGUACUCCAACUAAAAUAGUAUUACAAAAUUUGAAUGCCUAAUGACCUCUAUAAUAUUUGACAAUUUAGUUUUAACGUGCGGUGUUCACGUAAGUUUUCGUGAUGGUCAAUUACAUAUACUAGAUAUAUCAUUAGUAAACUAAAAUAAUAAUGAAUCAUUUUCAUUAUUAAUAUUAGGGCUGGACAAAAAAUCCGGAUCCGAAACACCGAACCGAACCCAAACUGAAAUUGAUUAAAUAUCUGAAUGGGUAAGAACAUCAAAAUAUAUAAGAUACGAACCGAAGUAUUUCGGAUAUCCGAUUAUAUCCAAAAUUGAUUUAUAUACCUAUAUAUAUUAAUUAUUUUUAGAUUUAAUAUAUAUUAAGAACAUCAAAAUAUAUAUGAUACUUUUAAAUUGUCCAAAAUACUUAUAAAUAUAUACAAAUAGUCAAAAGUACAUGUCUAAAAUAGCUAAAGUAUACUUAAAACACCAACAAUACUUAAAAUAUCUAUUGAUUCUCAAUCCAAAUAUUUAAACCAAACAAAUUUAUAUGUUAAUUUUAGGUACUUUGACAUAUGCUAUUCAAAUUUAUAUAUAAUAUAUUAUUUUGUUUAUGAAAUUUUGAGAAAUUUAAAGUAUAUAAUGAAUUUUAAAAAUUUUAAAAUAAUUUGAAUGAGUUAUUCGAAUCCGAACCGAACCCGCAAAGAUCCGAACCCGAACCGAAAUUUAGAAAUAUCCGAAUGGGACUAAAAUCUUUGAACCCGAAAACCAAAACCCGAAUAGAUCCGAACAAAGCCUGAAUGGGUACCCGAACGCUCACCUCUAAUUAAUAUUUUUCAGUUUACUUUUUAAUGAUUCAUUUUAUUCUAUGUUAUUGUUUUGAUAAACAGAAGUAGAAGAUUUUAUAAAAAUAAAAAACAUAUUAUUAUAUUAAAAGUAUGUUUUACGUGUUUAAUUGGUGAAGAUGGUUUCGGAACCAGAGGAAUUGCCAGCAUUUGAAAGCUACCUGGAAGAUAUCAAGCUUUUGCGACGAAGCUUCAUCAACUCAGAUAUUGUUCAUGUUCCUAGGACGGAAAAUAAACGGGCAGAUAGCUUGGCACGUAGUGCUCGGCAACAACCGUCUUUCGUCGUGCACAUGGACGCAGAGUUACCACAUUGGUUUACAGAGUCUACAUGAGUCUGUAAAUGUUUGCUGUCA